UACACGAGGAUGGCGUUAAUGUCUCCUACAAACCGGCGUCACUUUCAAUCCCCCUCGGUGAGACCAAGUUCAGCUAAACAUCUUGGAAACAAUAUUUGCAUCGGGCGCCCUCGUUUGCCUGAUCCAGAAUCUGAACCUUAUAACCAGUGGCAGAAUGAUGUCGAUAUGUGGACACGGUUACAUCCCAAAAAAAAAGGGAACAUGGUAUGGCCUUGGCAUUGUCACUUCCUAA
This is a long non-coding RNA of Carcharodon carcharias (great white shark), 232 nucleotides long. RefSeq lists it as uncharacterized. The record is from RefSeq and is a predicted model, not a curated record. The transcript is spliced from 2 exons. Lineage: Eukaryota; Metazoa; Chordata; Chondrichthyes; Lamniformes; Lamnidae.